GAUGAACGCUGGCGGCGUGCCUAAUACAUGCAAGUAGAACGCUGACUACUUUAGCUUGCUAGAGUAGAAGGAGUUGCGAACGGGUGAGUAACGCGUAGGUAACCUGCCUACUAGCGGGGGAUAACUAUUGGAAACGAUAGCUAAUACCGCAUAACAGUGUUUAACAAAUGUUAGAUGCUUGAAAGAUGCAAUUGCAUCACUAGUAGAUGGACCUGCGUUGUAUUAGCUAGUUGGUGGGGUAACGGCCCACCAAGGCGACGAUACAUAGCCGACCUGAGAGGGUGAUCGGCCACACUGGGACUGAGACACGGCCCAGACUCCUACGGGAGGCAGCAGUAGGGAAUCUUCGGCAAUGGGGGCAACCCUGACCGAGCAACGCCGCGUGAGUGAAGAAGGUUUUCGGAUCGUAAAGCUCUGUUGUAAGAGAAGAACGUGUGUGAGAGUGGAAAGUUCACACAGUGACGGUAACUUACCAGAAAGGGACGGCUAACUACGUGCCAGCAGCCGCCGCAG
RNAcentral lists this ribosomal RNA (513 nucleotides) under uncultured bacterium. RNAcentral's name for it is "partial 16S ribosomal RNA". It matches the Rfam family "Bacterial small subunit ribosomal RNA", at positions 28 to 523 of the family's 1533-position model. The record is from RNAcentral.